RNAcentral lists this ribosomal RNA (253 nucleotides) under uncultured bacterium. Its description in RNAcentral is "partial 16S ribosomal RNA". It matches the Rfam family "Bacterial small subunit ribosomal RNA", at positions 524 to 776 of the family's 1533-position model. The record is from RNAcentral.
UACAGAGGUCUCAAGCGUUGUUCGGAUUCAUUGGGCGUAAAGGGUGCGUAGGCGGCGCGGUAAGUCGGGUGUGAAAUCUCGGAGCUUAACUCCGAAACUGCAUUCGAUACUGCUGUGCUUGAGGACUGGAGAGGAGACUGGAAUUUACGGUGUAGCGGUGAAAUGCGUAGAUAUCGUAAGGAAGACCAGUGGCGAAGGCGGGUCUCUGGACAGUUCCUGACGCUGAGGCACGAAGGUCAGGGGAGCAAACGGG